RNAcentral lists this ribosomal RNA (491 nucleotides) under uncultured bacterium. Its description in RNAcentral is "partial 16S ribosomal RNA". It matches the Rfam family "Bacterial small subunit ribosomal RNA", at positions 29 to 507 of the family's 1533-position model. The record is from RNAcentral.
AGUGAACGCUGGCGGUAGGCCUAAUACAUGCAAGUCGAACGGCAGCACAGUAAGAGCUUGCUCUUACGGGUGGCGAGUGGCGGACGGGUGAGGAAUACAUCGGAAUCUACUUUUCGUGGGGGAUAACGUAGGGAAACUUACGCUAAUACCGCAUACGACCUACGGGUGAAAGCAGGGGAUCUUCGGACCUUGCGCGAUUGAAUGAGCCGAUGUCGGAUUAGCUAGUUGGCGGGGUAAAGGCCCACCAAGGCGACGAUCCGUAGCUGGUCUGAGAGGAUGAUCAGCCACACUGGAACUGAGACACGGUCCAGACUCCUACGGGAGGCAGCAGUGGGGAAUAUUGGACAAUGGGCGCAAGCCUGAUCCAGCCAUACCGCGUGGGUGAAGAAGGCCUUCGGGUUGUAAAGCCCUUUUGUUGGGAAAGAAAAGCAGCAGGUUAAUACCCCGCUGUUCUGACGGUACCCAAAGAAUAAGCACCGGCUAACUUCGUG